Molecule: ribosomal RNA, 465 nt
Filed under: uncultured bacterium
Lineage: Bacteria
Description: partial 16S ribosomal RNA
Rfam family: Bacterial small subunit ribosomal RNA
Source: RNAcentral
GACGAACGCUGGCGGCGUGCUUAACACAUGCAAGUCGAACGGAAAGGCCCUGCUUGCAGGGUACUCGAGUGGCGAACGGGUGAGUAACACGUGGGUGAUCUGCCCUGCACUUCGGGAUAAGCCUGGGAAACUGGGUCUAAUACCGGAUAGGAGCCAUUUUUAGUGUGAUGGUUGGAAAGUUUUUUCGGUGUAGGAUGAGCUCGCGGCCUAUCAGCUUGUUGGUGGGGUAAUGGCCUACCAAGGCGGCGACGGGUAGCCGGCCUGAGAGGGUGGACGGCCACAUUGGGACUGAGAUACGGCCCAGACUCCUACGGGAGGCAGCAGUGGGGAAUAUUGCACAAUGGGCGCAAGCCUGAUGCAGCGACGCCGCGUGGGGGAUGACGGCCUUCGGGUAGUAAACUCCUUUCGCUAGGGACGAAGCUUUUUGUGACGGUACCUAGAGAAGAAGCACCGGCUAACUACGUG